UACGGAGGGGGCGAGCGUUAUUCGGAAUUAUUGGGCGUAAAGCGCACGUAGGCGGGUCGUUAAGUCAGGGGUGAAAUCCCGGAGCUCAACUCCGGAACUGCCUUUGAUACUGGCGAUCUUGAGAUCGGAAGAGGUGAGUGGAAUUCCCAGUGUAGAGGUGAAAUUCGUAGAUAUUGGGAAGAACACCAGUGGCGAAGGCGGCUCACUGGUCCGAUACUGACGCUGAGGUGCGAAAGCGUGGGGAGCAAACAGG
This 253-nucleotide ribosomal RNA is filed under the name uncultured bacterium. RNAcentral's name for it is "partial 16S ribosomal RNA". It matches the Rfam family "Bacterial small subunit ribosomal RNA", at positions 524 to 776 of the family's 1533-position model. The record is from RNAcentral.